CGCGUAGGCGGCACAGCAAGUCGGGAGUGAAAGCCCGGGGCUCAACCCCGGAACUGCUUUCGAAACUGCUGAGCUAGAGUACAGAAGGGGCAACCGGAAUUCCCAGUGUAGCGGUGAAAUGCGUAGAUAUUGGGAAGAACACCUGAGGCGAAGGCGGGUUGCUGGGCUGAUACUGACGCUGAGGCGCGAAAGCCAGGGGAGCAAACGGGAUUAGAUACCCCGGUAGUCCUGGCCCUAAACGAUGGAUACUUGGUGUGUGGGGUUCUCUGAGUCCCCGCGUGCCGGAGCUAACGCGGUAAGUAUCCCGCCUGGGGAGUACGGUCGCAAGGCUGAA
This 334-nucleotide ribosomal RNA is filed under the name uncultured Acidobacteriota bacterium. RNAcentral's name for it is "bacterial SSU rRNA". It matches the Rfam family "Bacterial small subunit ribosomal RNA", at positions 568 to 898 of the family's 1533-position model. The record is from RNAcentral. Lineage: Bacteria; Pseudomonadati; Acidobacteriota.